UGCUACCAAGGCCAAUCCAUGGAUUGGGAACUCCCUGAAGCCUGACAGUGUCCGAUCCCAGCUGGAGACGUCACUGAAGCGGCUGCAGUGUCCCUGAGUGGACCUCUUCUAUCUACAUGCACCUGACCACAGCGCCCCGGUGGAAGAGACACUGCGUGCCUGCCACCAGCUGCACCAGGAGGGCAAGUUCGUGGAGCUUGGCCUCUCCAACUAUGCCGCCUGGGAAGUGGCCGAGAUCUGUACCCUCUGCAAGAGCAACGGCUGGAUCCUGCCCACUGUGUACCAGGGCAUGUACAGCGCCACCACCCGGCAGGUGGAAACGGAGCUCUUCCCCUGCCUCAGGCACUUUGGACUGAGGUUCUAUGCCUACAACCCUCUGGCUGCUUCUGGAAGGAGCACCACUUCGAGGGCAUUGCCCUGGUGGAGAAGGCCCUGCAGGCCGCGUAUGGCGCCAGCGCUCCCAGCAUGACCUCGGCCGCCCUCCGGUGGAUGUACCACCACUCACAGCUGCAGGGUGCCCACGGGGACGCGGUCAUCCUGGGCAUGUCCAGCCUGGAGCAGCUGGAGCAGAACUUGGCAGCGGCAGAGGAAGGGCCCCUGGAGCCGGCUGUCGUGGACGCCUUUAAUCAAGCCUGGCAUUUGUUUGCCCACGAAUGUCCCAACUACUUCAUCUAAGCUCAUUGUGGCUCAGGCUGCCCAAGGCUUUUCUGUCAACUCUUUUGCUCUCUCCCGCUUUGUCUAAUUUAGAACUGCCUCACUAAAUUCUUAGGGAUGGAAGUAUUUGGAAAAAAACCUAACAGUAGAGUCACCACCUAAGGAAGAAUAAAAUCUCCCAGGGUGCUGUGUGUUAGUCUGUUUGCGUUGCUAUAAAAGAAUACCUGAGACUGGGUCAUGUAUAAAGAAAAGAGGUUUCUUUGGCUCACAGUUCUGCAGUCUGUACAAGAGGGUGUGGUGCCGGCAUCUGCUCUUGGUGAGGGCCUCAGGAAGCUUAGAAUCAUGGCAGAAGGGGAAACGGAGCCAGCGUGUCACAUGGUGAGAGAGGGAGCAAGAGACAGACAGGGGAGGAAAUUCACACACUGAUGGUGGGGAUGUAAAAUGGUACAACCAGUUUGGAAAACAGUUUGGCAGUUUCUCAAAGGAUUAAACAUAAAAUUACCAUAGGAUUCAGCAGUUCCACUUGUGGGUAUGUAGCCAAGAGAAAUGAAAACAUAUCUCCCCACAAAAAAACUUGGGUAUGAGAUUUCACAUUAUCAUUGCUCAUAAUAGCCAAUAAGUAAAAACAACCCAAAUGUCCAAGAAUGAAUAAAUGGAUAAACAAAAUAUGGUAUAUUUAUACAACAGACUAUUAUUCGGCC
Molecule: long non-coding RNA, 1355 nt
Filed under: Homo sapiens (human)
Lineage: Eukaryota; Metazoa; Chordata; Mammalia; Primates; Hominidae
Description: long non-coding RNA NONHSAT151216.1
Source: RNAcentral